CUUGUCACUUUCGUCUGCUAGCAAACAACAGAAAAAAGCUGGUGUGUGGUGGGAUGCACCACCAACUGGAUAAAGAACCCAGAACCAAGUUUUUAUGAGCUGCCGAACCGAAAAACCUGUCUUAACUUUGGAGUCUAGUGUGGCGUGUCGGCUAGCAAGCUAGCUACAGACAGUACGUUACUGUCAUUUUACAGGUGUACGAACCACAAAGGAUCGUUGUUGUUCGUGCCCUCUCAGAAUCACCACUGGCUUCCACACGUCUCCACACUGCAUUCGGACAUUUUCUCCAGCGUGCAGCUCAGGUCCGUGACGUAGUCUGUCGUUUUGGAUUGACCUUGAGCACGGGUGAAAAACAUGCCGAAUAUAAGGCCCAGUGGAGAUGCAGCCAUGGAGGUAAAGCUCGUUGUGCUGGCCACAGUCAACAGGUUGCCUCUUUCCCCAUCUGAUCCUGUGGUGGCAGCAGGUUCUGAGGGAGAUGUGGAAUGCUGGCAGGUGUGUGUGAUUGGGCUAAUUGGCUUCAGGUCUAGGCUCAUGAAGUAAUAAAG
Anguilla anguilla (European eel) is the source of this 545-nucleotide long non-coding RNA. RefSeq lists it as uncharacterized. The record is from RefSeq and is a predicted model, not a curated record. NCBI's taxonomy places the organism in Eukaryota, Metazoa, Chordata, Actinopteri, Anguilliformes, Anguillidae. The transcript is spliced from 5 exons.